RNAcentral lists this ribosomal RNA (433 nucleotides) under uncultured bacterium. Its description in RNAcentral is "partial 16S ribosomal RNA". It matches the Rfam family "Bacterial small subunit ribosomal RNA", at positions 29 to 507 of the family's 1533-position model. The record is from RNAcentral.
AACGAACGCUGGCGGCAUGCCUAACACAUGCAAGUCGAACGAGACCUUCGGGCCUAUUUGCGCUCGUCUGCGUGCGACCUGGGAACUUGCCCUUAGGUAAGGAAUACCUCCCCGUAGGGUGUCCUAAUACCGCUUAAUCUCUUAGGACCAAAGAUCUAUGGCUUUUGGAUGGGCCCGCGUUGGAUUCGCCGGUUGGUAGGGUACAAGCCUGCCAUGGCGAGGAUCCAUGGCUGGUCGGAGAGGAGGAUCAGCUAGACUGGGACUGCGACACGGCCCAGAAUCCGACGGGGAGCAGCAGUGGGGAAUAUUGGACGAGGGGGGAAAGUCUGAUCCAGCAAUGCCGCGUGAGUGAUGAAGGCCGUAGGGUUGUAAAGCUCUUUUAGCCGGGACGAUAAUGACAGUACCGGGAGAAUAAGCACCGGCUAACUACGUG